UACGUAGGUGGCAAGCGUUGUCCGGAUUUACUGGGCGUAAAGAGCUCGUAGGUGGUUUGUCGCGUUGUUCGUGAAAACUCACAGCUUAACUGUGGGCGUGCGGGCGAUACGGGCAGACUGGAGUACUGCAGGGGAGACUGGAAUUCCUGGUGUAGCGGUGGAAUGCGCAGAUAUCAGGAGGAACACCGGUGGCGAAGGCGGGUCUCUGGGCAGUAACUGACGCUGAGGAGCGAAAGCGUGGGGAGCGAACAGG
This 253-nucleotide ribosomal RNA is filed under the name uncultured bacterium. RNAcentral describes it as "partial 16S ribosomal RNA". It matches the Rfam family "Bacterial small subunit ribosomal RNA", at positions 524 to 776 of the family's 1533-position model. The record is from RNAcentral.